This 186-nucleotide ribosomal RNA is filed under the name Triticum aestivum (bread wheat). RNAcentral's name for it is "partial small subunit ribosomal RNA". The record is from RNAcentral. Lineage: Eukaryota; Viridiplantae; Streptophyta; Magnoliopsida; Poales; Poaceae.
CAUGUUUUUUAAGAUUUGGUCUACUUACUUAUCAAAUUGGUAUUGAUCUUACCGGUGUUAAAGGCGAAUAUAGAAAGAGUAUUCUCGGCAAUGAGCCUAGUGAAAGAUAGGUUGAGAAAUAGUAUGGGUGAUGAACUCUUGAACCAUUUCUUAGCAAACUUUAUUGAGUGGGAUGUGUUCUUGUAG